Molecule: RNA transcript, 6304 nt
Organism: Pomacea canaliculata
Lineage: Eukaryota; Metazoa; Mollusca; Gastropoda; Architaenioglossa; Ampullariidae
Exons: 3
Source: RefSeq, a predicted model, not a curated record
GGCACGUUGGGAAGUAGUAAUUACAUUUCUAUCCUGAUUGUGCGAUUGAUUAGGAGUGUGAAUAUUUUGUUCCUUUUAGGAUCACUUUUCCUCCCUUAUGAUUUUAAGAAAACUUUGGGCUGAUUGGUAUAUGUAUUGUACCACUAGUAUUGUUUGACCUUAUUUAUGUAUGACAACUUAUUUUACCUAAAAUUGAUUUGUUUACAUACGCUUCAUUGUAACACAGGGAAGCACUUCCACGCAUUUUUGUGGAUUCUUGGCAUUAAUUUUUUUGUUACAAAUUGUUUGCAAUAAGUCUUAUUUGGUGACAAUGUACAUUAUUAUUUUCUUCUUAUUAUUAUUAUUGGUGAUUAUUCUGAAUUUCUUUAUCAGAAACCCUCAUAAAGCCAGUAACUAAGGCUCUAACGUCAUAGAGGAACCAAUUUUGUAAAUAGUUGAAGCAUGCAGAAAAUGAAAACAGCAUGCCUGGGUAAUCUUUCAUUAUUUGCAGCAAAACCCAGAAGAGCCACAGCCAGGUAGGAGUGAUUCUGCCCCAUCAAAGAGAGGGAAGAAGAAUAUGAAAAAAGGAGGAAAACAAAGCAUUCUUCUCGUUAACGGCAAGUCUGACAUCAACACUUCCAGUGGAGAUUCUUCAAGAUCUCCAUCUGCAGGUAUAUAAAAUUUGCCACCAAACCGUGCUUCAAUAUCAGGGUCGGGGGCGUAAGAUGAAGUUAGUGGUAUAGCGAGGUAGUCAGUAGUUCCCUUAGUAUUAGAGCGAUAGCGUCAGGGUGUGCAGAUACUAACGUAAGACCAAAUUUUCUCCUUUAUUAAGCAGACAAGUUUGGGAUCUACCAGACAUUGCUGAGAUACCUACUGCCCCGCCACUUUCCCCGCAGUCGGCAGUGCCACGUGGGUGGGUGGAAUGGCUUCUGACUGAUCUUGUGGUUCAGAUAGAACAACUGCUAGAAGAAGGAAAAGAGAGGGUGAAUGGACAACAAUCAGUAAGUACAUUUCACUGCGACAUAAGUAGAAAGAGAGAGCGAACCCCUACUAUAUUUACAUAUGCUAAUAUCUAAUAUGACGAUAGAUUAAAAAAAAACUCAGUCUUUAGAGUUUGAAUAAUCAUCGUUUUUAAGGCCGUUUUUAGGCGUCGUCGUCAAUAUCAUCAAACAACGAUGAUACACCUCCAGUAUUCAUCAUCAAUCAGAGAAAUUAUAGAAUCCUCUAUCAGACAUUAAUAUAUCACCAAUCAACAAACAUGAUCAUUAUCCUCAUCGUCGUCGUCGUCGUCGGCGGCGGCGUCGUCUUCAUCAUCAUCAAUUAUCAGAAUUCACGAUCAACCAUCAUCGCAAAUUAUCAAUCAUCAUCAUCAUCAUCAUCAUGCAUGAUACCAGUGUCUCGUCAAUGCCUCGGGACAAGAGCAUGCCAGGUGUGUAUAUUUUCACAAUGUUUAUUUUUUACAAUGUGUAUUUAUUAGCAAUAUAUAGGGGGGAAGUAUUUAUAUAACUAUAAUAAACACGGUAUUCAUCAGCAGUUGUAACAUGUGUGGUGUGUUCGAGAACUAUAUAUAUAUAUGGAAUUUAUGAAGAAUAUUCUUUUUAAGGCCGUUUUUAACUACACUACUGGCAUCAUUUCAGGAGGCAAGAAAUAUUGAACACCAUAUUUCGGCUUCUGACUGAUCUUGUGGUUCAGAUAGAACAACUGUAGAAGACGGCAAAAAAGGGGGAAAUGGACAACAAUCAGUAAGUACAUUUCACUGCGACAUAAGUAGAAAGAGAGAGCGAACCCCUACUAUAUUUACAUAUGCUAAUAUCUAAUAUGACGAUAGAUUAAAAAAAAACUCAGUCUUUAGAGUUUGAAUAAUCAUCGUUUUUAAGGCCGUUUUUAACUACACUACUGGCAUCAUUUCAGGAUGCAAGAAAUAUUGAACCUUCUUCAGCUUCUGGCUGAUCAUCUAACGUCAUAGAGGAACCAAUUUUGUAAAUAGUUGAAGCAUGCAGAAAAUGAAAACAGCAUGCCUGGGUAGUCUUUAAUUCUUUAAGUGGCGUUUUAUUACAUCUUAUUCGUCGACACACACAUUCUGACGGCUUGUCUGCCCCUGCUUGUUGCAGAAAACACCACUCCCGACGACAACACGGAGCCUCGUCCCAUCCAGCGGACAAGGUAUCGCGGCUAUCAGCUGGAACUGCUGGAGGGCGAGUUCUCUAGGAACACCCGCCCCUCGUGGGAUGUCCUAGAACUCGCCCGAGAGACGGGGCUAACCGACGAGCAAGUGCGGGAGGCAAGACGUCAUAAAUGCAUUCAGAAGACAAGCUCAAGCUCUGGCCACAUGGAGCUACAUAAUGUAUGUUAUGAGUUUUUAAAGUAAUUCAAUGCUUCUAAUCUGAGAGAGCCAACCCCUCCCCAAGACACAGGUACAGCUGGUUCCCAGUAGAGCCAGCAGAAAAGGUAAACCAUCAUAUAGCCAGUAACUAAGGCUCUAACGUCAUAGAGAAACCAAUUUUGUACAGGAAAAAUAGACUAAUUAGAGCGAUAGCGUCAGGGUGAAUCUUCGUUCAUCAUCAUCACCAAAAUAAAUCAAUCAUAAUCAUCAUCACCAUCAUCAUCAUGCACGAGGGUAUGCUCUUUUAACCUCCUCCCAGGUAUGCAUUUUUCCACAAUGUUUAUUUUUACAAUGGGAUAUUUAUUAGCAAUAUAUAGGGGGAAGUAUUUAUAUAAUUAUAAUAAACACGUUAUUUCAAUGGUCUGCCACCAGUGACACUAACAUAACCAGGUAGGGCUGUAGGAAGUCCUUUUUUUUUUUUGCUUUUCGCUUUUCUUUAUAACUCUGUGUGUGUGUGUGUAUACGAUUUUUUAAAAUUAUUAGCAGAUAUUCAAAGAUGACCCAUGUCCCAAGGGGAGUGAUCCUCCUAAUGAUCCCCAAGGGGGGGAAGAGAUGGAAAAGGAGGAAAGACCAAAAUAAGCAGUUCUUUUCUCUUAUGAGAUCCCUGGCGGAUGGUCUGCGAGUGGACAUCCUUUGGGAUCUCCACAUGAAAAUCCACAAGAUUGGUUACGAAACAGUAAUGAAAUAUACAGAAUUAACUCCCCAGUGAGCCAACGGCCCCUCCCCAAAACACAAGUCCUCCAAGUUCAGCUGGUUCGAAAUAGAGCCAUGAUAAAGCCAGUAACUAAGGCUCUAACGUCAUAGAGAAACCAAUUUUGUAAAGGAAAAAUAGACUAAUUAGAGCGAUAGCGUCAGGGUGUGCAGAUACUAACGUAAGACCAAAUUAUCUCUUUUAUUAAACAGAAAAGAUAUUAGGGAAUAUGACAAGCCAUCGACCUCAUCACGUCGCCCUCCGUCCCCUGACUUCAGUGUUGUUGACCUCCUUCUGUGCAUGAUGAUAUUUGUAAGCAAACAUGUCUGAAAUGGAAGGGUGCUGAUUCCUUAGGAUUGUGGAAUAGGGAAUAUAUGUGUUAAUCAUAUAUCGACAACGACGACGACUAUUAUUAUCAUUAUUAUUAUAUAGCACUACAAAUGUAUCCUCUCACAGGACAGCGAGCUCAAAGAAUUUUAUAAAAGCGAACGACUCAAAGAGACACCUAUUAACACUGUGCGCUCUGGUUCUACCUUACAGGUGUCGUUCAAAAACCGGCGGAAGAAGUGGCGGCAGAAGCAGAGAUUACGAAACCCUCCCCUCCUCCCAUCAUCAUCAUCAAUCAUCAACAAUCAUCAUCAAUCAUCAUCAUCAUCAUUAUCAUCAUCUACCUAACGAGAAUACUGAAUUUUUACACCAGCACUUUUUUUUUUUUUGCUGUGGAUUCUGUUUGGCUGUUUACUGCAAUUGUAGGUUUCUUAGAGCUUCAACUGCUAGAAACAAGACAUGUUUAUCUUUGAUAUUAAUGCAAUUAUUGUAACUUUGUAAGUAUAUACUUUGUGUGUUUUGUCUAAAAGCUGCAAUGUGCGUGCGUGCGUGCGUGCGUGCGUGCGUGCGUGCGUGCGUGCGAUUUUUUAAAAUUAUUAGCAGAUAUUCAAAGAUGACCCAUGUCCCAAAGGGAGUGAUCCUCCUAAUGAUCCCCAAGGGGGGGAAGAGAUGGAAAAGGAGGAAAGACCAAAAUAAGCAGUUCUUUUCUCUUAUGAGAUCCCCGGCGGAUGGUCUGCGAGUGGACAUCCUUUGGGAUCUCCACAUGAAAAUCCACAAGAUUGGUUACGAAACAGUAAUGAAAUAUACAGAAUUAACUCCCCAGUGAGCCAACGGCCCCUCCCCAAAACACAAGUCCUCCAAGUUCAGCUGGUUCGAAAUAGAGCCAUGAUAAAGCCAGUAACUAAGGCUCUAACGUCAUAGAGAAACCAAUUUUGUAAAGGAAAAAUAGACUAAUUAGAGCGAUGCGUCAGGGUGUUAGAUACUAACAUAAGACCAAAUGUUCUCCUUUAUUAAGCAGACAACUUUGGGAUCUACCAGACAUUGCUGAGAUACCUACGGCCCCGCCACUUUCCCCGCAGUCGGCAGUGCCACGUGAGUACUUUAACAGGUUCUGGAGUGAGUUAGUUUUAUCACCAUCUUUUGUGUAAACGUCUUCCCUGACUUAUUUUGCAGGUGGGUGGGUGGAAUGGCGGUUAGAUGGAGGUAGGAUGGAUGGGCCGGGUAGAACAUGAGAGUUCGCUAAUUAGCACGCACGAUCGUGCUUGAAAGCUUUUAAUCGGUCACAAGUGGAUGAACACAUGAGAGGGGAAACACGCAUACCCAAAGAGAAAUGGUGCCCCUUCUUACCAUGCAUGACAAAAGUGUGCAUGCGUGUGACUGAACGAGUGUCUUUAAGUGGCAUCUAAUUACAUCUCAUUCAUCGACACACACAUUCUGACGGCUUGUCUGCCCCUGCUUGUUGCAGAAAACACCACUCCUGACGACAACACGGAGCCUCGUCCCAUCCAGCGGACAAGGUAUCGCGGCUAUCAGCUGGAACUGCUGGAGGGCGAGUUCUCUAGGAACACCCGCCCCUCGUGGGAUGUCCUAGAACUCGCCCGAGAGACGGGGCUAACCGACGAGCAAGUGCGGGUAAGCACAGUAAACCGGUUAAAAGACUAGUCCACUAGUUGUUAAGUAAACAGCCCUGACUUCAGUCUUGUUGACCUCCUUCUAUGCAUGAUGAAUAUAUGUGUUAAUCAUAUAUCGACAACGACAACGACGACGACUAUUGCGAACGACUCAAAGAGACACCUGUUAACAAUGUGCGCUAUGGUUCUACCUUCCAAGAGGGGUUUAAAAAUCAGAGAAGAAAGUUGAAUCAGGCGCCUUCCCUCCACUCAUCAGCAUCACCAUCAGCAUCACCAUCAGCACGAUCAUCGUGAGCAUCAUCAUUACCACAUACAGCGCAGGCGGCGUCGUCAUCAUCAUCAAACAACGACGAUACACCUCCAGUAUUCAUCGUCAAUCAGAGAAAUUAUAGAAUCCUCUAUCAGACAUUAAUAUAUCACCAAUCAACAAACAUGAUCAUUAUCCUCAUCGUCGUCGUCGUCGGCGGCGGCGGCGGCGGCGGCGUCGUCUUCAUCAUCAUCAAUUAUCAGAAUUCACGAUCAACCAUCAUCGCUAAUUAUCAGUCAGCAUCAUCAUCAUCAUCAUCAUGCAUGAUACCAGUGUCUCGUCAAUGCCUCGGGUCAAGAGCAUGCCAGGUGUGUAUAUUUUCACAAUGUUUAUUUUUUACAAUGUGUAUUUAUUAGCAAUAUAUAGGGGGGAAGUAUUUAUAUAACUAUAAUAAACACGGUAUUCAUCAGCAGUUGUAACAUGUGUGGUGUGUUCGAGAACUAUAUAUAUAUAUGGAAUUUAUGAAGAAUAUUCUGUAAGUUUUCAUGACCAGCUAUUAUGUAGUAGUAGAGAAUUGUACAUGGCAUUUAUAAGCAGUAAUAUUUGUGUUGGACGGAGUAUACCUGCUUGUGAUGUUAAUUCUCCAUCUUUCUUGCAGCCAUCCACUGCUUGGAGAAACCGGCGGGGGAAGUCGCGGCGAGAACAGAUAAUGAGAAACCCUCCCCUCCUCCUGCACGCUCCUUCCGCACGUGAGACAUCCCCCCGACGGUGUUUUGAACCGGUAACAGAAAUCGUACCCCCUACCAAAUCUACGGACCCCGCCCCAGGUUUGCGACAGAUGUGUUUACUGUUUUGUAAUGCAUUUGCAGAUCAAAAGCGUCUCUUGUGUAGGUUGGACAGAUGCAAAGAUUUGCCUGAAAAGAAUCACGAGGACAAUCUUGAUCGACAAGGUUUCAUAACUGUUAAGGCCAAAGAAGAGAAAAAUGUGCUUUCAAGGGGCUUUCAAAGGUGCAGACCAUGAUAUGCAGUAAGUGAUGAUGUAUAAA